UAGCUUUAGAGCAUCAAUAGGGCAAGUCUCUUGCUUUGGGGGUGGAGGUGGGCAUGGCACUGGAGGUGGCGGAGGAGGGCAUGGUGUUUCAGUUGGCGGUGGCUUCACAACAGGAGGCUUUGGUGGUAGAGUUGGCGGUGCUGGUGUUACCGGCGGCGUAGGAUAAUACGGUGGUGUAGGGGUAACAGGAGGCUUUGGUGGUAGAGUCGGAGGCUUGAUCACCGGUGGUUUUGGUGUCGGUGUUACCGGAGGGGUAGGAUAAGGCGGCGGAGUUGGGGUAACAGGAGGCUUUGGUGGUAAAGUUGGUGGGGAAAUGAUUGGUGGUUUGGGUACAUAAGGUGGUGGCUUUACAGUAGGAGGCUUUGGUGGUAAAGUUGGUGGGGAAAUGAUUGGUGGUUUGGGUACAUAAGGUGGUGGCUUUACAGUAGGAGGUUUUGGUAUAUGGGGUGGAUAUACAAUUGGAGGCUUGACAACCGGUGGUUUGGGUACGGUUGGUGGUUUGACAACGGGUGGUUUGGGUACAUAAGGUGGCGGCUUUACAGUAGGAGGUUUUGGUACAUGGGGUGGAUAUACAAUUGGAGGCUUGACAACCGGUGGUUUUGGUACGGUUGGUGGUUUGACAACGGGUGGUUUGGGAACCACCGGAG
RNAcentral lists this long non-coding RNA (647 nucleotides) under Jatropha curcas. RNAcentral's name for it is "long non-coding RNA (JCUR_LNC000704)". The record is from RNAcentral. Lineage: Eukaryota; Viridiplantae; Streptophyta; Magnoliopsida; Malpighiales; Euphorbiaceae.